CCAGACUCCUACGGGAGGCAGCAGUGGGGAAUUUUGGACAAUGGGCGCAAGCCUGAUCCAGCCAUGCCGCGUGUCUGAAGAAGGCCUUCGGGUUGUAAAGGACUUUUGUUAGGGAAGAAAAGGAUAGUGUUAAUACCAUUAUCUGCUGACGGUACCUAAAGAAUAAGCACCGGCUAACUACGUGCCAGCAGCCGCGGUAAUACGUAGGGUGCGAGCGUUAAUCGGAAUUACUGGGCGUAAAGCGAGCGCAGACGGUUUAUUAAGCAAGAUGUGAAAUCCCCGAGCUUAACUUGGGAACUGCGUUUUGAACUGAUAAGCUAGAGUAUGUCAGAGGGGGGUAGAAUUCCACGUGUAGCAGUGAAAUGCGUAGAGAUGUGGAGGAAUACCGAUGGCGAAGGCAGCCCCCUGGGAUAAUACUGACGUUCAUGCUCGAAAGCGUGGGUAGCAAACAGGAUUAGAUACCCUGGUAGUCCACGCCCUAAACGAUGUCAAUUAGCUGUUGGGCAGCUUGACUGCUUAGUAGCGAAGCUAACGCGUGAAAUCGACCGCCUGGGGAGUACGGUCGCAAGAUUAAAACUCAAAGGAAUUGACGGGGGCCCGCAAAG
Molecule: ribosomal RNA, 605 nt
Filed under: uncultured bacterium
Lineage: Bacteria
Description: bacterial SSU rRNA
Rfam family: Bacterial small subunit ribosomal RNA
Source: RNAcentral